RNAcentral lists this ribosomal RNA (481 nucleotides) under uncultured bacterium. RNAcentral's name for it is "bacterial SSU rRNA". It matches the Rfam family "Bacterial small subunit ribosomal RNA", at positions 903 to 1397 of the family's 1533-position model. The record is from RNAcentral.
AAAGGAAUAGACGGGGACCCGCACAAGCGGUGGAGCGUGUUGUUUAAUUCGAUGGUAAACGAAGAACCUUACCCAGGUUUGACAUCCUUGGAAUUUUGCCGAAAGGCGAGAGUGCUUUAUUGAGCCAAGUGACAGGUGUUGCAUGGCCGUCGUCAGCUCGUGUCGUGAGAUGUUUGGUUAAGUCCAUCAACGAGCGCAACCCUUAUAGUCUGUUGUAUUUUUCAGGCUAGACUGCCCCGGUAACGGGGAGGAAGGAGGGGAUGAUGUCAGGUCAGUAUUACCCUUACAUCUGGGGCUACAAACACGCUACAAUGGCCGGUACAAAGGGCAGCCAAGUCGCGAGACGGAGCAAAUCCCAUCAAAGCCGGUCCCAGUUCAGAUUGCAGGCUGAAACUCGCCUGCAUGAAGUCGGAAUCGCUAGUAACGGUAGGUCAGCUAUACUACCGUGAAUACGUUCCCGGGUCUUGUACACACCGCCCGU